This is a long non-coding RNA of Magnolia sinica, 770 nucleotides long. RefSeq lists it as uncharacterized. Lineage: Eukaryota; Viridiplantae; Streptophyta; Magnoliopsida; Magnoliales; Magnoliaceae. The record is from RefSeq and is a predicted model, not a curated record. The transcript is spliced from 2 exons.
GACUCUAACCUAUACUUAAACUGUUUUUCUCAGCUGACUAGUGAGCUGCCUACGGAGUGGACCCGAACAGGAAGGAUCCAGCUCUAAAGAAGCUGGCUAUGAAGAUUCUUGGACUCACGUGUUCUGCCAGUGGUUGCGAGUGCAAUUGGAGCACGUUCGAGGCGAUUCAUACCAAGAAAAGGAAUCGCCUUGAGCAAAAAAAACUCAACGACUUGAUUUUCGUUUAAUAUAAUCAAAAAUUGCGAGAACGAUUCCAAAGUAGGAAAGAAAAGCCUGGUUUCUUUGACCCUAUCUGCUUAGACAAGUUGGAUGCAAAUAACGAGUGGCUCGUAGAGACGGAGGACCCAGUAUUUGCUGGAGAGGUGCUGACGUGGGCACAAGUUGAAGAUGCCGCAUAUGGAUCAACAUCUAGUGAAGGUAGUAGUACCACUCGAAGGCGAAGGAUGGGGAGGAGCCGGGGGGUGAGUAAUAGCCGUCAACCCGUUGAUGAGAUUGAGGAGAUUGAAGAAGAGAAAGUGAUAAUGAUGAUCAAGCUGAAGAUCAUCCACCAUUGGAUGUUGAUGAAGUAUUAGUACGUAUAGAUGAUGAAGAAACGAAAGAAGAAGUGUAUGUGGAAGAAGGAGAUGACUCGAAUGAUGAUGAUGGUGGUGGUGGUGGUGGUGGUGGACCUGGUGGUGAUGUGCCACAAUGGAUGCUAGAUCAAUGUAUAUGAUUAAUGAUUAUUGAUUAGAUAAAUAAAAUAAUAAAUACAUAACUUCUUAAUUUUGUUU